Molecule: transfer RNA, 60 nt
Filed under: Ixodes scapularis (black-legged tick)
Lineage: Eukaryota; Metazoa; Arthropoda; Arachnida; Ixodida; Ixodidae
Rfam family: tRNA
About the family: Transfer RNA (tRNA) molecules are approximately 80 nucleotides in length.
Source: Rfam by way of RNAcentral
AUAGCUCAAUUGGUAGAGCAGUGGGCUGAAGAUCCAGAGGUCCAGGGUUCAACUCCCGGU